UAAAGUAAUUUAUAAAAAAUAUUGUUUUGCAAAGACAAAAAAGUUCGAUUACCUUUACUUAG
RNAcentral lists this transfer RNA (62 nucleotides) under Conchoderma hunteri. Its description in RNAcentral is "tRNA-Cys". The record is from RNAcentral. Lineage: Eukaryota; Metazoa; Arthropoda; Thecostraca; Lepadidae.